GACGAGCGCUGGCGGCGUGCUUAACACAUGCAAGUCGAGCGAUGAAGUUCCUUCGGGAACGGAUUAGCGGCGGACGGGUGAGUAACACGUGGGUAACCUGCCUCAUAGAGGGGAAUAGCCUUCCGAAAGGAAGAUUAAUACCGCAUAAGAUUGUAGUACCGCAUGGUACAGCAAUUAAAGGAGCAAUCCGCUAUGAGAUGGACCCGCGUCGCAUUAGCUAGUUGGUGAGGUAACGGCUCACCAAGGCGACGAUGCGUAGCCGACCUGAGAGGGCGAUCGGCCACAUUGGGACAGAGACACGGCCCAGACUCCUACGGGAGGCAGCAGUGGGGAAUAUUGCACAAUGGGGGAAACCCUGAUGCAGCAACGCCGCGUGAGUGGUGACGGUCUUCGGAUUGUAAAACUCUGUCUUCAGGGACGAUAAUGACGGUACCUGAGGAGGAAGCCACGGCUAACUACGUGCCAGCAGCCGCCGUAA
Molecule: ribosomal RNA, 478 nt
Filed under: uncultured bacterium
Lineage: Bacteria
Description: partial 16S ribosomal RNA
Rfam family: Bacterial small subunit ribosomal RNA
Source: RNAcentral